GAUGAACGCUGGCGGCGUGCCUAGUACAUGCAAGUCGAGCGAAUGGAUUAAGAGCUUGCUCUUAUGAAGUUAGCGGCGGACGGGUGAGUAACACGUGGGUAACCUGCCCAUAAGACUGGGAUAACUCCGGGAAACCGGGGCUAAUACCGGAUAAUAUUUUGAACUGCAUGGUUCAAAAUUGAAAGGCGGCUUCGGCUGUCACUUAUGGAUGGACCCGCGUCGCAUUAGCUAGUUGGUGAGGUAACGGCUCACCAAGGCAACGAUGCGUAGCCGACCUGAGAGGGUGAUCGGCCACACUGGGACUGAGACACGGCCCAGACUCCUACGGGAGGCAGCAGUAGGGAAUCUUCCGCAAUGGACGAAAGUCUGACGGAGCAACGCCGCGUGAGUGAUGAAGGCUUUCGGGUCGUAAAACUCUGUUGUUAGGGAAGAACAAGUGCUAGUUGAAUAAGCUGGCACCUUGACGGUACCUAACCAGAAAGCCACGGCUAACUACGUGCCAGCCGCCGCCGUAAUAC
This 518-nucleotide ribosomal RNA is filed under the name uncultured bacterium. RNAcentral's name for it is "bacterial SSU rRNA". It matches the Rfam family "Bacterial small subunit ribosomal RNA", at positions 28 to 526 of the family's 1533-position model. The record is from RNAcentral.